RNAcentral lists this ribosomal RNA (253 nucleotides) under uncultured bacterium. RNAcentral describes it as "partial 16S ribosomal RNA". It matches the Rfam family "Bacterial small subunit ribosomal RNA", at positions 524 to 776 of the family's 1533-position model. The record is from RNAcentral.
UACGGAGGGUGCAAGCGUUAUCCGGAUUUACUGGGUUUAAAGGGUGCGUAGGUGGGUCUGUAAGUCAGUGGUGAAAUCUCCGGGCUUAACCCGGAAACUGCCAUUGAUACUAUAGAUCUUGAAUAUCCUGGAGGUGAGCGGAAUAUGUCAUGUAGCGGUGAAAUGCUUAGAUAUGACAUAGAACACCAAUUGCGAAGGCAGCUCACUACGGGAUCAUUGACACUGAGGCGCGAAAGCGUGGGGAGCGAUCCGG